This 2267-nucleotide ribosomal RNA is filed under the name Vibrio cholerae. RNAcentral describes it as "partial 23S ribosomal RNA". It matches the Rfam family "Bacterial large subunit ribosomal RNA", at positions 676 to 2925 of the family's 2925-position model. Lineage: Bacteria; Pseudomonadati; Pseudomonadota; Gammaproteobacteria; Vibrionales; Vibrionaceae. The record is from RNAcentral.
AGCGAGUCUUAACUGGGCGCUCAGUCUCUGGAUAUAGACCCGAAACCGGGUGAUCUAGCCAUGGGCAGGUUGAAGGUUGAGUAACAUCAACUGGAGGACCGAACCGACUAAUGUUGAAAAAUUAGCGGAUGACUUGUGGCUAGGGGUGAAAGGCCAAUCAAACUCGGAGAUAGCUGGUUCUCCCCGAAAGCUAUUUAGGUAGCGCCUCGGACGAAUACUACUGGGGGUAGAGCACUGUUAAGGCUAGGGGGUCAUCCCGACUUACCAACCCUUUGCAAACUCCGAAUACCAGUAAGUACUAUCCGGGAGACACACGGCGGGUGCUAACGUCCGUCGUGGAGAGGGAAACAACCCAGACCGCCAGCUAAGGUCCCAAAGUAUUGCUAAGUGGGAAACGAUGUGGGAAGGCUCAGACAGCUAGGAUGUUGGCUUAGAAGCAGCCAUCAUUUAAAGAAAGCGUAAUAGCUCACUAGUCGAGUCGGCCUGCGCGGAAGAUGUAACGGGGCUAAGCAAUACACCGAAGCUGCGGCAAUGUCUUUUAGACAUUGGGUAGGGGAGCGUUCUGUAAGCCGUUGAAGGUGAAUCGUAGGGUUUGCUGGAGGUAUCAGAAGUGCGAAUGCUGACAUGAGUAACGACAAAGGGGGUGAAAAACCUCCUCGCCGGAAGACCAAGGGUUCCUGUCCAACGUUAAUCGGGGCAGGGUGAGUCGACCCCUAAGGUGAGGCCGAAAGGCGUAAUCGAUGGGAAACGGGUUAAUAUUCCCGUACUUCUGACUAUUGCGAUGGGGGGACGGAGAAGGCUAGGUGGGCCAGGCGACGGUUGUCCUGGUUCAAGUGCGUAGGCUUGAGAGUUAGGUAAAUCCGGCUCUCUCUAAGGCUGAGACACGACGUCGAGCUACUACGGUAGUGAAGUCAUUGAUGCCAUGCUUCCAGGAAAAGCCUCUAAGCUUCAGAUAGUCAGGAAUCGUACCCCAAACCGACACAGGUGGUCGGGUAGAGAAUACCAAGGCGCUUGAGAGAACUCGGGUGAAGGAACUAGGCAAAAUGGUACCGUAACUUCGGGAGAAGGUACGCUCUUGAUGGUGAAGUCCCUCGCGGAUGGAGCUGACGAGAGUCGCAGAUACCAGGUGGCUGCAACUGUUUAUUAAAAACACAGCACUGUGCAAAAUCGCAAGAUGACGUAUACGGUGUGACGCCUGCCCGGUGCCGGAAGGUUAAUUGAUGGGGUUAGCGCAAGCGAAGCUCUUGAUCGAAGCCCCGGUAAACGGCGGCCGUAACUAUAACGGUCCUAAGGUAGCGAAAUUCCUUGUCGGGUAAGUUCCGACCUGCACGAAUGGCGUAAUGAUGGCCACGCUGUCUCCACCCGAGACUCAGUGAAAUUGAAAUCGCUGUGAAGAUGCAGUGUACCCGCGGCUAGACGGAAAGACCCCGUGAACCUUUACUACAGCUUGGCACUGAACAUUGAACCUACAUGUGUAGGAUAGGUGGGAGGCUAUGAAGACGUGACGCCAGUUGCGUUGGAGCCGUCCUUGAAAUACCACCCUUGUAUGUUUGAUGUUCUAACUUAGACCCAUUAUCUGGGUUGAGGACAGUGCCUGGUGGGUAGUUUGACUGGGGCGGUCUCCUCCCAAAGAGUAACGGAGGAGCACGAAGGUGGGCUAAUCACGGUUGGACAUCGUGAGGUUAGUGCAAUGGCAUAAGCCCGCUUAACUGCGAGAAUGACGGUUCGAGCAGGUGCGAAAGCAGGUCAUAGUGAUCCGGUGGUUCUGUAUGGAAGGGCCAUCGCUCAACGGAUAAAAGGUACUCCGGGGAUAACAGGCUGAUACCGCCCAAGAGUUCAUAUCGACGGCGGUGUUUGGCACCUCGAUGUCGGCUCAUCACAUCCUGGGGCUGAAGUCGGUCCCAAGGGUAUGGCUGUUCGCCAUUUAAAGUGGUACGCGAGCUGGGUUUAGAACGUCGUGAGACAGUUCGGUCCCUAUCUGCCGUGGGCGUUGGAAGAUUGAAGGGGGCUGCUCCUAGUACGAGAGGACCGGAGUGGACGAACCUCUGGUGUUCGGGUUGUGUCGCCAGACGCAUUGCCCGGUAGCUAAGUUCGGAAUUGAUAAGCGCUGAAAGCAUCUAAGCGCGAAGCGAGCCCUGAGAUGAGUCUUCCCUGACAGUUUAACUGUCCUAAAGGGUUGUUCGAGACUAGAACGUUGAUAGGCAGGGUGUGUAAGCGUUGUGAGGCGUUGAGCUAACCUGUACUAAUUGCCCGUGAGGCUUAACCAU